This 495-nucleotide ribosomal RNA is filed under the name uncultured bacterium. Its description in RNAcentral is "partial 16S ribosomal RNA". It matches the Rfam family "Bacterial small subunit ribosomal RNA", at positions 29 to 506 of the family's 1533-position model. The record is from RNAcentral.
AUGAACGCUGGCGGCGUGCCUAAUACAUGCAAGUCGAGCGAACGGACGAGAAGCUUGCUUCUCUGAUGUUAGCGGCGGCCGGGUGAGUAACACGUGGAUAACCUACCUAUAAGACUGGGAUAACUUCGGGAAACCGUAGCUGAUACCGGAUAAUAUUUUGAACCGCAUGGUUCAAAAGUGAAAGACGGUCUUGCUGUCACUUAUAGAUGGAUCCGCGCUGCAUUAGCUAGUUGGUAAGGUAACGGCUUACCAAGGCAACGAUGCAUAGCCGACCUGAGAGGGGGGAGCGCCACUCAGGACGUGAACCGCGGCCCAGACCCCUAGGGGAGGCAGAGAUGGGGAAUUUUCCGAAAAGGGGGAAAGCCUGACGGAACAACGCCGGGGGGGUGAAGAAGGUUUUCGGUUCGUAAAACUCUGUUAUUAGGGAAAAACAUAUGUGUAAGUAACUGUGCAAAUUUUGACGGUACCAAAAAAGAAAGCCACGGCUAACUACGU